Molecule: ribosomal RNA, 491 nt
Filed under: uncultured bacterium
Lineage: Bacteria
Description: partial 16S ribosomal RNA
Rfam family: Bacterial small subunit ribosomal RNA
Source: RNAcentral
AGUGAACGCUGGCGGUAGGCCUAACACAUGCAAGUCGAACGGCAGCACAGUAAGAGCUUGCUCUUACGGGUGGCGAGUGGCGGACGGGUGAGGAAUACAUCGGAAUCUACUUUUUCGUGGGGGAUAACGUAGGGAAACUUACGCUAAUACCGCAUACGACCUACGGGUGAAAGCAGGGGAUCUUCGGACCUUGCGCGAUUGAAUGAGCCGAUGUCGGAUUAGCUAGUUGGCGGGGUAAAGGCCCACCAAGGCGACGAUCCGUAGCUGGUCUGAGAGGAUGAUCAGCCACACUGGAACUGAGACACGGUCCAGACUCCUACGGGAGGCAGCAGUGGGGAAUAUUGGACAAUGGGCGCAAGCCUGAUCCAGCCAGACCGCGUGGUGAAGAAGGCCUUCGGGUUGUAAAGCCCUUUUGUUGGGAAAGAAAAGCAGCAGGUUAAUACCCCGCUGUUCUGACGGUACCCAAAGAAUAAGCACCGGCUAACUUCGUG